AUUGAACGCUGGCGGCAUGCUUUACACAUGCAAGUCGAACGGUAACAGGCCGCUAGGUGCUGACGAGUGGCGCACGGGCGAGUAAUGCAUCGGAACGUGCCCAGUCGUGGGGGAUAACUACUCGCAAGAGUAGCUAAUACCGCAUACGAUCUAUGGAUGAAAGCGGGGGACCGUAAGGCCUCGCGCGAGUGGAGCGGCCGAUGUCAGAUUGGGUAGUUGGUGGGGUAAAGGCUCACCAAGCCAACGAUCUGUAGCUGGUCUGAGAGGACGACCAGCCACACUGGGACUGAGACACGGCCCAGACUCCUACGGGAGGCAGCAGUGGGGAAUUUUGGACAAUGGGCGCAAGCCUGAUCCAGCAAUGCCGCGUGCAGGAAGAAGGCCUUCGGGUUGUAAACUGCUUUUGUACGGAACGAAACGGCUCUGGUUAAUACCCGGGGCUAAUGACGGUACCGUAAGAAUAAGCACCGGCUAACUACGUG
RNAcentral lists this ribosomal RNA (482 nucleotides) under uncultured bacterium. RNAcentral's name for it is "partial 16S ribosomal RNA". It matches the Rfam family "Bacterial small subunit ribosomal RNA", at positions 30 to 507 of the family's 1533-position model. The record is from RNAcentral.